Alosa sapidissima (American shad) is the source of this 1907-nucleotide long non-coding RNA. RefSeq lists it as uncharacterized. The record is from RefSeq and is a predicted model, not a curated record. Lineage: Eukaryota; Metazoa; Chordata; Actinopteri; Clupeiformes; Clupeidae. The transcript is spliced from 2 exons.
UUACUUUUAAAAGCACAGCAGGAAAAUGGUUUCAUUUUGUGUACAGGACAGCAGAUGGUGUUCUAGAGGCAAAGGUGCUCUCUGCUGGAGCAGGUGAAAAAUAAUCUCACAAACUUGUAGGCUACAGUGUAAGAGGGUGUUUUAUGAAGACCAGUUCCUCAUUUCUGUCAAUCAAUAUUUAUCCAAACAAACAAAUGUUUACCUAACUGAUUUGUUGUGUUUUUUUCUGUAUGAAGGUAUUCCUCCUAUUGCACAAUUGGUAUUAUUCCUCUGUUGUAUGCCAAAGAUGUUGUCAUUGUUAAGCAUAAUGUGGCAUGUUAUGAUGCUAAAAUAUUGGCUAAAAUAUAUAUGUAUAUAUAAAGGGCACGGCAUGGCUGUACUUUGUCCCAUGUUUCUUUUCCAAACUCUCCAGUUGCGCUUUUGCAUUUAAUUUUAGCUAACCUAUAGGAUACAUAUCGUUGGGUAGCGAUUGAAAUAGCUACUUCAGUGAAAAAAGAUAUAGGGUAGAUAAAUAUCAUUAUGUAUGUAUUUUAUCAUUAUGUAUUUCAUUAUCUGUUGAAGAAAAAAUCCAUGGCAACUGACAAUUCUAUCUGUUUACAAUUCUAAGAUGUAACUUAUGUGUGGGCGGAAAUUUGGACCAUAUUUUAAUUACUAUAAAUUCCCAUUUCACAGCCAUCACAAUUGUAACAUAUUGCAUAUUGCAUAUUGCAUAUUGUCCUAGUGAUCCUGUUUUCUGCCCACAGUAAAAUAGUGUUAAUAUGUGUUGAGGUAGUGUAGUUUUAAAUUGAAAUUUCAGUUUGAGGAUGAAAAUGACUGAAAGAUUUUUGUUUUGUGCCAACAGAUGCAUUUUUGCAUUUAUUUUCCAAUUGUCAAGAUGCCUACGAAGUUAUUAAUAACAACAUAUAGUUACAUAUUUAUUUACAUAUUUUGAAGUACACAAACAUGUAUGCGGAAAAUGUCAAGUGCUUAACCUGAUGGUGAAACAACCACCAUGUCUUUUCUCUUAAAACUGAUAGUGUUUUUGACCACUUGAGGGCACUCUAGUCUAGUAUGAAUUUCACGGUGGUCAUGUAGUCAAUGCUCCUUUAGUCCAAAAAAAGAAGAAGAAGAGAAACAGGACAUAUUUGAUGAGGUCAUCUUUUAAGCAUGAGUCUCCUGAUAUCACAAGAUAUUUUUACAGCUAGACCACCUGCCAUUCAGACCCUCAGGCACUUUCUUCAUCUUGCCCUUUCUUGGUGACACUCUCUGUCCACUCUAAUGCAAUCAGACAUGCUGCUAUUGUGACAUUUCUGCUGGCUUUCUGGCUAUUAACACGAUUACGAACAUGUUUUGAGAUUAAGGACAUUUGUGAAAUUAUCUGGGUGGUAGUUUAGUAUCUUGCAGAUUUCUACUCUGUUGAAGUGUAAGAGUAGGCCUAUUUUCUCUGUAACAAAUAGUAGUCGGAACCUCUAAUAAGCUGAAUCUUCCAACUGACCUUCACGGUCCAUUGCUUUUGAAGUAGGAUUUUGUUAAGGGAGUGAAAGUGGAGUGCUUCUGAAACGUCUUUUGGUAAUUUAAUCACAGGCCAAAUUAUCUUAGUUUAAUCACAUGCUCAUUAUCUCUAGGACAUUCCUGCCUGUGAUAGUUUUUCACAUGUAUGCUGCAUUAUUCGUUUUUUGCAUGCUGUAACUGAAGGCCAUGUUUUGUGAACUUGUAAAUCGUUGAUACUAUUCCAGUCUUUGUGUAAUGCUGAUAUUAUUAUGCAUGUGUGUAUGGGAUCAUAUGAUAAAUUCUCAUCAACAUAGUGCUUUGUACACCUCAGUGAAUGGUACAUAUCAAGCAGGUCCAUUUUCAAAGUUGAAUCAUUUAUGUCAUUGUAGCUAUCUGUGGGUGGCUAACCUGCUUAAUAUUAAACUUCUGUUGUUUGA